CACUCACAAAUGGUUAAAAAUAAAAAUAUGCAGAAAUUCAUAUGUAAGAUAAAUACGUACAGAAAACUUGUGUUCACGUUUGUCUGUGCUGGAUGUUUUGACAUUUUAUAGUCGUUUCAGAAUAUUCAAAUACUAGAUAUGAAAGGUUCAUCUGCAUGUCUAAUAGUGGUACUUGUCAUAGCGAACUUGGAAGAGGUAAAGCCCAAAGCUAGCGAUUAUCAAAAUACUUUAGGAAACAUUUAUGAAAACGCCCGAUUCUGUUCAGACAGUGGAGAUCCUUGCACUGAGGAUGAAGACUGCUGCAACUUUCCUACUUGCACCUGUUUCACAAACUCGCAGUGUCAUUGUUUUAGAGUGUAGUUAAGAUUUUCUGAAUUUUACUUAUAGUAACGUUUCUUUUUGAGACAUUGAUUUGUCACUUGUAAAUGGGAAUAAAUUUUGAGCUCAUCUGAG
Molecule: long non-coding RNA, 453 nt
Organism: Stegodyphus dumicola
Lineage: Eukaryota; Metazoa; Arthropoda; Arachnida; Araneae; Eresidae
Source: RefSeq, a predicted model, not a curated record